This 84-nucleotide transfer RNA is filed under the name Nanobdellota archaeon. RNAcentral describes it as "tRNA-Leu". It matches the Rfam family "tRNA". From Rfam's summary of the family: Transfer RNA (tRNA) molecules are approximately 80 nucleotides in length. Their secondary structure includes four short double-helical elements and three loops (D, anti-codon, and T loops). Further hydrogen bonds mediate the characteristic L-shaped molecular structure. tRNAs have two regions of fundamental functional importance: the anti-codon, which is responsible for specific mRNA codon recognition, and the 3' end, to which the tRNAs corresponding amino acid is attached (by aminoacyl-tRNA synthetases). tRNAs cope with the degeneracy of the genetic code in two manners: having more than one tRNA (with a specific anti-codon) for a particular amino acid; and 'wobble' base-pairing, i.e. permitting non-standard base-pairing at the 3rd anti-codon position. Lineage: Archaea; Nanobdellati; Nanobdellota. RNAcentral also lists the same sequence under 1 other name. The record is from RNAcentral.
GCGGGAGUGGCAGAGCGGUCAAAUGCGCUAGGUUGAGGGCCUAGUCCCUUAGUGGGUGCGAGGGUUCGAACCCCUUCUCCCGCA